Molecule: long non-coding RNA, 3124 nt
Organism: Pan troglodytes (chimpanzee)
Lineage: Eukaryota; Metazoa; Chordata; Mammalia; Primates; Hominidae
Exons: 3
Source: RefSeq, a predicted model, not a curated record
UAGUGUUUCAAGAAGGGGGAAGUGGUCAGCUACAGGGAAAGCACUUGAAAAGUCGAGGAACGUGAGGACAUAGAAAUAACCACUGGGGUGGAAAUCACUGAGGUUGUUGGUGACAUUAGAAUUUCAGUGGAGUGGAGAGGACAGAAGAUGGACAACCGUGUUAAGAGAAUGAGAAAGUUUCACCCUGUUACCUAGGCUGGAGUGCAGUGGUACUAUCCAGCUCACUGCAACCUCCACCUCCCAGGUUCAAGUGAUUCUCCCACCUCAGCCUCCCAAGAAGCUGGGAAUACAGGAGUCCACCACCAUGCCCAGGCAUUAUUUUCUCAUUGGCAGGAGCCUCCAGUGAAAUGCUGGUCUCUUCCUUUUCCCUGUAUACGUAUUAAGCGUCUAAGAUCAUGAGUCAGUGAGGACAAGCCGCCUCAGUCAAUUAACAGGAGCAUAGCUACACUAAGUCCUGCAAUUAGAAGCUCUGACUUAGAAGCUGGAGAAGCAGAGAGUGCUGAGCGAUGCUGAAAAGUCACUGCCCAGAAAAAUUUAAGAAACUUUCCAAAUCACCCACUCGUAGAACCUCCUUUUUCAAUGGGACAUUUUUAUAUAUUUUUAAAAGUAUGCAUGUAGAGUAAAGUAAAGCGCUUCUUCCAAUAAAGACGUUUUUUGAAAAAUUCUAUUUACAGCCCAGACUUUCCUGCCCUCUUGUGGAGAAAAUACAGAGCUCUCUAUUCAUAUAAAUAGGAUGGCUUUUUAAAACUUGCAGCUGGCUUUUUCAAUGGUACGUGUAAUUUACUGUCAUGGUUGGAUCCCCUGAUAUUCACAGAACUUUACUAGCUAUAAAAUCAGAAUAACAAAGUAGAGCUAAAUAGGUAUUAUACUGGAAAAAACCAUCUAAUUCCAGACAAGAAAAAGUUGCAUUGAUUAGGAUCUGUUUGUUUGUUUGUUUGUUUGUUUGCUGGGAGGCAGGGAAGGGGAGGGAAAGUGAGAGGGAGAAAGUGAUUCGUUUUUAAUAGUACUUAGAUUUAUAAAUAAAUAUAUUCAAAAUAACUAGCAAAAGAGAGAGGAAGAAAGAGACAGAGAGUUUUCAAAGUGGCCAUCAGAAAGCUCUGGUCCUGUUUCCAUCUUUCCACCCAGAGAAUGGACCAGUGUCUCUCUCUUGUGGGGCUGCCACUGCACAGUGCCACCUGGACAGGACCAGCCUGGGACACAGAACACACAAAUCCCAUCGGCAACUCUCAUGAAAUCACAGAAUUCCCAAAUUGCCAUAGGUUGUUUUAUUUUGUUUUCUUUUGUGACUGUUGCCCAGGCUGGAGUACAAAGGCACGAUCAUUGCUCACUGCAGCCUCAAUCUCCUGGGCUCAAGCAAUCCUCUUGCCUCAGCCUCCCAAGUAGCUGGGACUAGAGGCAUGUGCCACUAUGCCUGGUUACUUUUUUAAUUUUUUUGUAGAGAUGAGGUCUCAGUUUGUUGCCCAGGCUUGUCUCAAAUUCCUGGGCUCAAGCGAUCCUCCUGCCUCAGCCUCCAAAAGUGCUGGGAUUACAGACAUGAGCACCGUGCAUGGCCUGCUUUGUUUUUUUAAGAAAGUUGGUUUAAGUGGGUUUAAAUUGACCCCAGGAGGCAGGGGCUGGGGGUCCUGAGCUGCACAUUCAACACCCAGCUCCAAUCAGUGGCCAACUUAUACAUGAUUUAGGCACAAAUUUGUUUUGGCCGUCCACCAAAAGAUGCUACAUUUCAUUCUGAUUGUUACCUGUUCUGAAGUUAUCAUAUGAAAAGUGCUACAGUAGGCUGGGCGGCGUGGUGGCUCAUGCCUGUAAUCCUAGCACUUUGGGAGGCUGGGGUGGGCAGAUCACAAGGUCAGGAGUUCGAGACCAGCCUGACCAACAUGGUGAAACCCCGUCUCUACUAAAAAUACAAAAAUUAGCCAGGUGUGGUGGCAUGUCCCUGUAAUCCCAGCUAUUUGGGAGGCUGAGGCAGGAGAAUGGCUUGAACCCGGGAGGUGGAGGUUGCAGUGAGCCAAGAUCAAACCACCACACUCCAGCCUGGGUAACAGAGCGAGACUCCAUCUCAAAAAAAAAAAAAAAGAAAAGAAAAGAAAAAGAAAAGAAAAGGGCUAGGGUAGAAUCCAACGUGUUUUUUUAAUGGUUUUAUAAUGGGGGGGAGGAGAAAAAUUCAUGAUCUUAAGUAAAAUUAUCAUGGAGAAAUGUCUUAAACUUCAGAAAAGCAGCAUGAUCUACUGUAGACAGAGCUUUUCCCCAAGUUGGAGACAUUCAGAAGUUCACUAAGCAUCCCAAGCAUGGUGCAAAGCACCAAGGGCCACAUGAAAGAAACACAAAUCAUGAGUCCUGCUUUACAUCACAAGGUAUCUGCCCAAGGACCAAUCACAUGCAAGGGCCCAGUCCAUCUGGGGAGACGAGGCCUAUGCAACAGCUGCGCAGGAAGGCCCAAAUGGACAAAACAGACCCCAUAAUAAAUGGGCCAGAGAGGGGAGGCCAGAGCCUCUGUGAUCUCCUGGGAUCAGAUAGAACCUGGGGAGAGAGAAAGAAGAGAGAAGCCUGCUCCAUGUAGCACAAACUUGGGAUGGCUGAUAAAAAGAUUGAGCAUGUUGAAUCUGAAGGACUCCCAAGGCACGGCUCUCUAAGUGAAAAGUACCUGGCCCCAAAGAAGGCAAGAUAAGCUGAACAGGUGGAAUGAAACCAGAUGAGAUUUCAAUGCUGCAAUCUGGAUUUAAUCAGCGGGAACCCAUGAAUGAUGUCUGGGUAGGUUUAUUGAUGACAUUUCUACAUCUGAAGAGUGUUUCCAGCACCCUAAGAGUGGGGAUGCAAGAGGCAGGGAGGUCAUCCAGGUGGUUGUUAAAGUGAUUCAGGCUGAGCUACAGAGAAGGCAAUGAAUCCACAAGCUACUGUCUAAAAAGAUUAAGUAUCAUGAAUAGGUGACUAAAGGAAAGAGGGAAAAAAUAUGGGGAUGGUGGGACAUGACAUUGAUGAAAUCAAGAAAGUGGGUGAGUGGAAAAUUCACAUGCUACAUGUUUACUGCCAUAUGUCAAGUCAGACUCAUAUGCUGCUGUAGAAGAGUUGUAAUUGCGCUUUGCAAAGCCAAGGUGAGUGUUUUGCUUGAGCCCAGGAGCUCAAGACCAGC